Molecule: ribosomal RNA, 257 nt
Filed under: uncultured bacterium
Lineage: Bacteria
Description: partial 16S ribosomal RNA
Rfam family: Bacterial small subunit ribosomal RNA
Source: RNAcentral
UACGUAGGGUGCAAGCGUUGUCCGGAAUUAUUGGGCGUAAAGAGCUCGUAGGCGGUCUGUCGCGUCUGCUGUGAAAACUCGGGGCUUAACCCCGGGCCUGCAGUGGGUACGGGCAGACUAGAGUGCGGUAGGGGAGACUGGAAUUCCGUGGUGUAGCGGUGAAAUGCGCAGAUAUCAGGAGGAACACCGGUGGCGAAGGCGGGUCUCUGGGCAGUAACUGACGCUGGAGGAACGGAAAAGCGUGGGUAGCGAACAGG